GGAGGGAUCAUUAAAGAGUUCUAUAACUCCCAAACCCAUGUGAACAUACCUAACGUUGCCUCGGCAGGUCGCACCUACCUUGUAGCACCCUACCCUGUAGGGCCUACCCGGGAGAUGCGGGUAAGCCUGCCGGCGGCCCAUCAAACUCUGUUUAAUAUUGAAUUCUGAACAUAUAACUAAAUAAGUUAAAACUUUCAACAACGGAUCUCUUGGUUCUGGCAUCGAUGAAGAACGCAGCGAAAUGCGAUAAGUAAUGUGAAUUGCAGAAUUCAGUGAAUCAUCGAAUCUUUGAACGCAUAUUGCGCCCAUUAGUAUUCUAGUGGGCAGGACCGUUCGAGCGUCAUUUCGACCCUUAAGCCUUAGUUGCUUAGUGUUGGGAGCCUACGGCAACGUAGCUCCUCAAAGUUAGUGGCGGAGUUAGUUCACACUCUAGACGUAGUAAUUUUUUAUCUCGCCUAUUAGUUGGACUGAUCCCCUGCCGUAAAACCCCCAACUUAUCAAGGUUGACCUCGAAUCGGUUCAGACAAACUCGCUAAAUUGAAGCAUCUUAGUCAGCGAAGGAAAAGAAACCAACAGGGAUUGCCCUAGUAACGGCGAGUGAAGCGGCAACAGCUCAAAUUUGAAAUCUGGCCCUCGGGUCCGAGUUGUAA
Molecule: ribosomal RNA, 650 nt
Filed under: fungal endophyte
Lineage: Eukaryota; Fungi
Description: eukaryotic LSU rRNA
Rfam family: 5.8S ribosomal RNA (bases 190-343)
Source: RNAcentral